RNAcentral lists this long non-coding RNA (1330 nucleotides) under Durio zibethinus. Its description in RNAcentral is "long non-coding RNA (DZIB_LNC002008)". The record is from RNAcentral. Lineage: Eukaryota; Viridiplantae; Streptophyta; Magnoliopsida; Malvales; Malvaceae.
UUUAAGAAACCAAACCCUAGCUGCCUCUCUCCUAUCUCAUCACUCUUUGCCAAUCCUCUCUCCCUUUCCCAUAUUCUCUUUAGUAUCUUGUUUACUUCUUUUAUCACCUAAAGCGUGCCUCGUCUCUCCUUUUAUCUCGUAUAAUCAUGUCCUUUUCUGUUUUUCCUCAACGCCAUCAGAGUUAUCGCCAGUUGUGGUAAACUCUCUGUUCUUCAUUUUUUUUUUCUUUCCUUCCUUUCUCUUCCUUCUAGCUAAUCUCCAUUUAAUCUCUUCUUUUUUUUUCCUUCUCCUUUCUCUUCUUCAUUGACCAGAUCUCUUUCGAGCUGAGACUCCCUUUCUUUUUUUCCAUUACAUUCUUCUCUUUCUAGUCGAAACCAGAUACCCUUAACAAACUUUCAUUUUCAAAAUUUAAACUUUUGGUUUGAAUUUUUGGAAAUUGUAUUUUCACAGUUGAUUUUUAAAAAAAAAUUAAUUUAUGAAAUUUAUAAACCCCUCUCAUUUGGUUUAUUCUUUACAUCCUUUUGUUGGUUUGAAUCACUGAAAUUUGUCAUUAAGUAAGUGUUCUGGGUUGAUGAAUGAACAGGUUAAAGUGUUGGUUGAAAGGUGUUGUUCAAGGUAGAUGAAUUGGGUUCAAAUGACAAAGCAACCACUGCUCUAUAAAACGACAAAAAAAAAUUUCUGUCACUUACCACUUACGAUUGAAGGUUCAUUAACUUCCAUUAAAAGCGCAAAAGAAAAAGUCUCGGGAAUUCAAACUUCUUAGGUAUGGCAAAGUGACAAACAUUUUUUCAGGUCUAUUGUAAAGUGGCAAAUUGACUACUCAUGAAAGAUAAAUAUGCAUAAAAUUAUUUAUGCUUAUGCCAUGGUGGCUUGCUUGUGUUCUGGCUUUUGGGUUACAAUUUUUGAGUUUCUUUUUAAUGUAAUUUUCGUUUUUUUUUUAAUUUUUUAUGCAAGAAAAAAAAAUUACCGACUUGGCUUUUUUAUGUAAAAUGAUUAAAAAAUUUUCAACGUCUCCAAAAUAAAAUUUCAUGUCAUCGAUUUUAAUUGAAAAAAAUUUCAAAAAUGCCAUAUCAGAUUGGUCAAUACCAGCACAUUACAGCCAACACCCUCGACAACAAUAUUAAGUGCUUUCAUUUAAUUUCGUUUUCCAUUUGAACUCAAUUUAAUAAUUUCAUUUAAGGAUUCAAUUUUCAUCGAUUAAUGUGUAAGGAAAAAAAACCACCCUCCUAUAAUUUCCAAGCUGAGACCGCAAAUGCGAGGGAAUGAGUCACAAGACCCCACGCGCUGAAACUCAAAUUGCCAUUGGCUAGACUGCGCGAGAAAUCAUAGG